Molecule: unclassified non-coding RNA, 520 nt
Filed under: uncultured Glomus
Lineage: Eukaryota; Fungi; Glomeromycota; Glomeromycetes; Glomerales; Glomeraceae
Also listed under: 1 other name
Description: SSU rRNA
Rfam family: Eukaryotic small subunit ribosomal RNA
Source: RNAcentral
AGCAGCCGCGGUAAUUCCAGCUCCAAUAGCGUAUAUUAAAGUUGUUGCAGUUAAAAAGCUCGUAGUUGAAUUUCGGGAUCAGUUGUUGGUCGUGCUUCGGUACGUACUGUCAUUACUGGUUUCUACCUUCUGAAGAACCUUGAUGUCAUUAAUUGGUGUCUUGGGGAAUCAGGACUGUUACUUUGAAAAAAAUUAGAGUGUUUAAAGCAAGCAUACGCAUUGAAUACAUUAGCAUGGAAUAAUGAAAUAGGACGUUUGAUUCUAUUUUGUUGGUUUCUAGGAUCGACGUAAUGAUUAAUAGGGAUAGUUGGGGGGCAUUAGUAUUCAAUUGUCAGAGGUGAAAUUCUUGGAUUUAUUGAAGACUAACUACUGCGAAAGCAUUUGCCAAGGAUGUUUUCAUUAAUCAAGAACGAAAGUUAGGGGAUCGAAGACGAUCAGAUACCGUCGUAGUCUUAACCAUAAACUAUGCCGACUAGGGAUCGGAUGAUGUUAUUUUUUCAAUGACUCAUUCGGCGCCUUA